RNAcentral lists this ribosomal RNA (342 nucleotides) under Triticum aestivum (bread wheat). Its description in RNAcentral is "partial small subunit ribosomal RNA". The record is from RNAcentral. Lineage: Eukaryota; Viridiplantae; Streptophyta; Magnoliopsida; Poales; Poaceae.
AUGCUAGUAUUAUAUAUAUACACAUUGUUAUCUACUUCUCAUUGUGCUUUUUUUCCCUUGUCUUUUUUUCUUUUCCUUCCAUCCAUUUCAUGGAUUGUUGGCAUCUUUCAAUUAAGCCAUCAGCCCGUCAUUGGUUACACUUCCAAGUGCAUCGCCUUGACCAUCGUUUGUAUACUCUUGUUUUCUUCUCUGUGCUUGUUCGGGAUCGUGUUCUUGAGAACCUCCCUGUAUCAUCUCGAGCAUACGCAAUUUCUUCGUUUGUCCCUUAAGCAGUUCCAUGCCAUCCAGUUUGGCACCUAUGGCUACAUCCAGUUUGAUAUCAUUGCAUACCAAUUGUUCUAG